This 94-nucleotide small RNA is filed under the name Flavobacterium sp. 81. RNAcentral's name for it is "Flavo-1 RNA". RNAcentral also lists the same sequence under 1 other name. The record is from RNAcentral. Lineage: Bacteria; Pseudomonadati; Bacteroidota; Flavobacteriia; Flavobacteriales; Flavobacteriaceae.
UCUUAACCGCAAAGGACGCAAGGAUUUACGCAAAGAACGCUAGAAAAAGCUUUGCGAAACUUUGCGUAAAUCUUAGCGUACUUUGCAGUAAAUU